This 431-nucleotide ribosomal RNA is filed under the name uncultured bacterium. RNAcentral's name for it is "partial 16S ribosomal RNA". It matches the Rfam family "Bacterial small subunit ribosomal RNA", at positions 28 to 506 of the family's 1533-position model. The record is from RNAcentral.
GAUGAACGCUGGCGGUAUGCUUAACACAUGCAAGUCGAACGGUCACUUCGGUGAUAGUGGCGGACGGGUGAGUAACGCGUGAGAAUCUGUCUUCAGGUCGGGGACAACAGUUAGAAAUGACUGCUAAUACCGGAUGUGCCUUUGGGUGAAAGAUUUAUUGCCUGAAAAAGAGCUCGCGUCAGAUUAGCUAGUAGGUGGUGUAAGAGACUACCUAGGCUCCGAUCUGUAGCUGGUCUGAGAGGACGAUCAGCCACACUGGAACUGAGACACGGUCCAGACUCCUACGGGAGGCAGCAGUGGGGAAUGUUCCGCAAUGGGCGAAAGCCUGAAGGACCAAUACCGGGUGAGGGACGAAGGCUUUUGGGUCGUAAAUCUCCUUUAUCAAGGAAGAUGAUGACGGUACUUGAGGAAGAAGCAUCGGCUAACUCUGU